GCAACCGUGGUGCAGUGGUUUAGCAUUCCAGCCUCCCAUCUAGGGAACCAGCUGGAGACCUGGGUUCGAACCCCGGCGGUUGCA
Non-coding RNA from Colletotrichum godetiae, 84 nucleotides. The record is from the annotation of a RefSeq genome assembly. Lineage: Eukaryota; Fungi; Ascomycota; Sordariomycetes; Glomerellales; Glomerellaceae.